AACAUAAAAGAAUAAAGGAAACUGAGUACUCCCCUGGGUGUGGUGUGCAUGGUGUGAUCCACUUGAUCAAGGCUCAAGUAAUUGGAGAGGGGAAGAGAGUCCCAACUGUAUUGAGCAAAAAGUGUAGCACUCUUUUUGAUUUGGUCAUAGCCCAUCCUACUUUUUCCAUGUACUCAUGAAGUAGCAUGAUUAGCUUAUCCUCUUU
RNAcentral lists this long non-coding RNA (205 nucleotides) under Manihot esculenta (cassava). RNAcentral's name for it is "long non-coding RNA (MESC_LNC007400)". The record is from RNAcentral. Lineage: Eukaryota; Viridiplantae; Streptophyta; Magnoliopsida; Malpighiales; Euphorbiaceae.